RNAcentral lists this ribosomal RNA (292 nucleotides) under uncultured microorganism. RNAcentral's name for it is "partial 16S ribosomal RNA". It matches the Rfam family "Bacterial small subunit ribosomal RNA", at positions 505 to 796 of the family's 1533-position model. The record is from RNAcentral.
GUGCCAGCAGCCGCGGUAAUACGUAGGGCGCAAGCGUUGUCCGGAAUUAUUGGGCGUAAAGAGCUCGUAGGCGGUCUGUCGCGUCUGGUGUGAAAACUCGAGGCUCAACCUCGAGCUUGCAUCGGGUACGGGCAGACUAGAGUGCGGUAGGGGAGACUGGAAUUCCUGGUGUAGCGGUGGAAUGCGCAGAUAUCAGGAGGAACACCGAUGGCGAAGGCAGGUCUCUGGGCCGCAACUGACGCUGAGGAGCGAAAGCAUGGGGAGCGAACAGGAUUAGAUACCCUGGUAGUCC